RNAcentral lists this ribosomal RNA (253 nucleotides) under uncultured bacterium. RNAcentral describes it as "partial 16S ribosomal RNA". It matches the Rfam family "Bacterial small subunit ribosomal RNA", at positions 524 to 776 of the family's 1533-position model. The record is from RNAcentral.
UACGUAGGGGGCAAGCGUUGUCCGGAUUUAUUGGGCGUAAAGAGCGUGUAGGCGGCCAGGUAGGUCCGUUGUGAAAACUCGAGGCUCAACCUCGAGACGUCGGUGGAAACCGUUUGGCUAGAGUCCGGAAGAGGGGAGUGGAAUUCCCGGUGUAGCGGUGAAAUGCGCAGAUAUCGGGAAGAACACCCGUGGCGAAGGCGGCUCUCUGGGACGGUACUGACGCUGAGACGCGAAAGCGUGGGGAGCGAACAGG